Molecule: ribosomal RNA, 253 nt
Filed under: uncultured bacterium
Lineage: Bacteria
Description: partial 16S ribosomal RNA
Rfam family: Bacterial small subunit ribosomal RNA
Source: RNAcentral
UACGUAGGGGGCUAGCGUUGUCCGGAAUCAUUGGGCGUAAAGCGCGUGUAGGCGGUCCGGUAAGUCAGCUGUGAAAGUCGGGGGCUCAACCCUCGGAUGCCGGUGGAUACUGUCGGGCUUGAGUACGGAAGAGGCGAGUGGAAUUCCUGGUGUAGCGGUGAAAUGCGCAGAUAUCAGGAGGAACACCAAUUGCGAAGGCAGCUCGCUGGGACGUUACUGACGCUGAGGAGCGAAAGCGUGGGGAGCGAACAGG